Molecule: non-coding RNA, 331 nt
Organism: Cinara cedri
Lineage: Eukaryota; Metazoa; Arthropoda; Insecta; Hemiptera; Aphididae
Source: the annotation of a GenBank genome assembly
UGGAUCACACCCCUCUCCCACACAGAUCUGUGUAUUAAAUUCUGAGUGUAGUAAAGAAGGUAUCGGUGUUAUUGAGAUAUUAUAAUGAGAUCAAUAAUAUCAAUGGUUUUUUUUUUAUUAUGGAAUACACUUUCGAUCAGUAAAAAGUAAUACCCUAUAUUAAGAUACACAUUUUUCAGUCAAUGGUACUUGAAAUUAACAUUUUUUUUUUUUUUUUUUUUUUUUUUUGGAAAUUCCCAAUAUUAAUAUGUUAAGCGAAUAUUUUGUAUGGCACUGGUACAUAUAGUCACUAUAGAGUUAUUAUGUCUUGUGACCUAUAACCAUUGUAAAA